RNA transcript from Hemibagrus wyckioides, 2813 nucleotides. It is a transcript of the gene named Meis homeobox 1 b, with no coding region annotated. NCBI's taxonomy places the organism in Eukaryota, Metazoa, Chordata, Actinopteri, Siluriformes, Bagridae. The record is from RefSeq and is a predicted model, not a curated record. The transcript has 11 exons.
GGUUUCGGCAGUCUGGUCCAGAUUCAGCGCGCUGCCGCGUUUUACACACACGCACACACGCGCGCGCUCACACACACGCACACACACACAUUAGCUGUGCACGACCGGCGAAGGCGGCUCGUAGCAUCGAUCGUGGCUCCUUUAAGAAGAACUAAGCCAGAAUCCUCACCCCACCUCCUCUACAGCUUAUUUAGAAGCUUUUGCAUAAAAAAUCAACACGAGAGAAGCAAGCGAGCAAAAGAGACACACGAGGGCUUGAUUUUUGCGCGCGUUUUUACGAGCAGCGUUGUCGCGAGGUGUGCUAACCGGUGGAAACGCGACGGAAGAUCAUCAUUCAUUCGACACUUUGACAAGCUUGCCUCUGAUUGACAGGCUGUGUGGCAAAAAGCCAUGGGACUUGCUAGCUAGGUCUGAGGGGUAUAUUUUCAUAAAAGGUCUGCGAAAGAAGAUUCUUUCGGUUUUUCAUCGCUGUCCGGCGGGGAAAAGCGGAGGACCCUGGUCGUGUUUGGCUGAAGUUGAUGUGAAGGACUGCUUGAAAGAGGCAUUUGGAUUUUGUUUUCGAAAAACAAACAUAAAACUAAACUAAACUAAACAGAACAAAAAACAAAAAACUUCCACUUCCUUCGGAAAUUGCGUUCUCAUUACUUCUUCAACCUGGCCUCUUAGGGAAUAUAUUUAGCGUUUAACGAAGCUGAGGGAGCGUGGAGGGCGAUGGCGCAGCGGUACGAAGACUUGCCCCACUACGGCAUGGACGGCGUCGGGAUCCCGAGCACCAUGUACGGGGACCCGCACGGCGGCGCGCGGCCUAUGCAGGCGGUGCACCUGAACCACGCGCCGCCACUGCACGCACACCAGUACCCGCACACUGCGCACGCCAACGCCAUGGCACCCGCAAUGGGAGCGUCCGUCAACGACGCGCUCAAGAGAGACAAGGACGCCAUUUACGGGCACCCCCUUUUCCCACUGCUAGCACUGAUUUUUGAAAAAUGUGAGUUAGCGACGUGCACGCCUCGGGAACCCGGUGUGGCUGGAGGAGACGUGUGUUCUUCUGAGUCCUUCAACGAAGACAUCGCCGUGUUCGCCAAACAGAUCAGAGCAGAAAAGCCAUUAUUUUCGUCAAAUCCUGAACUUGAUAAUUUGAUGAUACAAGCCAUACAAGUUUUACGCUUUCAUCUCUUGGAGCUGGAGAAGGUACACGAGCUGUGUGACAACUUUUGCCACCGGUAUAUCAGCUGUCUGAAGGGCAAGAUGCCCAUAGACCUGGUAAUAGACGAAAGAGAAGGAGGAUCUAAGUCGGAUAGCGAGGAAAUCACGAGAUCGUCGGGGCCGCUGGAUCAGACCUCAUGGAACAGAGACCAUGAUGACACAGCUUCAACACGCUCCGGAGGUACGCCAGGACCUUCCAGUGGUGGACACACAUCACAUAGUGGUGACAACAGCAGUGAACAAGGUGAUGGACUGGACAACAGCGUGGCCUCUCCCAGUACGGGCGAUGAUGAUGACCCUGACAAGGAGAAGAAGAGGAAUAAAAAACGUGGCAUCUUCCCCAAAGUAGCAACCAAUAUCAUGCGGGCAUGGCUCUUCCAGCACUUGACACACCCCUACCCCUCAGAAGAACAGAAAAAACAGCUGGCCCAAGACACUGGCCUUACCAUAUUGCAAGUGAAUAACUGGUUCAUUAAUGCACGAAGGAGAAUAGUCCAGCCAAUGAUCGACCAGUCCAACCGAGCAGGCAAGUCUCCUCUAAUAAAUGCACCAUGCAUCAAGAGGUUUGCCUCUUGGUAAAUACAUCACCUGGCCUGGACCACAGGUCAUGACUGACCACAAAAGUCCAUUCAGUUAAUCCGAAGCAUUAAUCACACAUGCUCAGAGUCCUUAUACUGUCCUGAAUAAAGUAGCAAAAUAGACAUCAUCAAAUAAAGAACUGAAACUGUAACGGUGGUUUAGAUGUAAAAUACCACAGCUCUUGUCCAAUCAAAAACUGUUUUGAGUCUAACAAAAAUAAAUAUAAUAUAAACAUGUGAAAUUAAAUGAGGAUAAUUAUUUAAAUAUGUUUUUAUUGUGUGUGAAUUUGCUUGGCAUCCAAGCUUUGCUAAUGCAGUUUCCCUGGUGCAUGGCUUGUUGUGGACGGCUUUAAAGUUUAUGAGCUGUAAUGGGGUUCAGAGAGCAAGGUUGCUUUAGGGGACUCAAGAAAGUUCAAAGGCAUUCACUGACAUUGAGGUUGUUGUUUUUGAUAAAAAAAAAGUCUCUCCUCUCCCAUUUCCCUCCAAACAGCAUAUAUCCACCAUAGCUCACAGGUAAAAAGAAAAAGGAGUCUUCUCUAGCAUUAUAAGGAAUAGUUGAAAAGAAUGAUCAUUAAAUAUUUUUUUAUCAGUGGACUGGAUUUAAUUUGCUUCAAGAUACUAAUGAUGUAAUGAGGUACUAAAUCAUAAUCAUGUACCAUCUUAAUUUUAUUAUUUAAGUCUGAUUGGAAAUGUAUAUAUUAUGCAUAGUCAUAUAUGUGAGGAAGAAAAACUGGGCUAAGAACCCUUAACCUGUGUGCCUGUUAGCAGAUGAUGUAUUCUCAGCAAUAGAAACUUAAUUAAAAGCACUAAUUGACCACUGUCCUGUGCCCUCCCCAAUUCACCCACAGUAAGUCAGGGAGCCCCCUACAACCCAGAUGGUCAGCCCAUGGGAGGCUUUGUGAUGGAUGGCCAGCAGCACAUGGGAAUCAGACCACCUGGGCCUAUGAGUGGAAUGGGCAUGAAUAUGGGCAUGGAGGGACAGUGGCACUACAUGUAACCUUCUAGUUAACCAAUCGCAAAGUGGGGGAA